Molecule: unclassified non-coding RNA, 330 nt
Filed under: uncultured fungus
Lineage: Eukaryota; Fungi
Description: partial contains small subunit ribosomal RNA, internal transcribed spacer 1, and 5.8S ribosomal RNA
Rfam family: Eukaryotic small subunit ribosomal RNA (bases 1-73)
Source: RNAcentral
GCAAACUUGGUCAUUUAGAGGAAGUAAAAGUCGUAACAAGGUUUCCGUAGGUGAACCUGCGGAAGGAUCAUUACAAAUCCAUCCACGUCUCGCUCCCGAGACCACGUUGAAAUGUUCUGCGUGCAGGCACGCAUGGCGGCGGCGGCAGCAACAACGAGGACACUACUCUCCUCGUGCCGUGCGCACCUGCGUGCCUCUCGCAUAUCUCAACUAGUUAUCUCUUGUUGAACGAGUGUAUUGUCGAGCAUCCUUCUUGACGGAGAGAUGUCUUAACAAAGUACAACUUAUAACAAUGGAUCUCUAGGCUCUUGCAUCGAUGAAGAACGCAGC